Molecule: non-coding RNA, 45 nt
Organism: Schistosoma mansoni
Lineage: Eukaryota; Metazoa; Platyhelminthes; Trematoda; Strigeidida; Schistosomatidae
Source: Rfam
AUCCAGCUGAUGAGUCCCAAAUAGGACGAAACGCGCGUCCUCGAU